CAGAUUGGAAGUUUUUUUGUCGACGGGUACGCAGAGUGUAACGGUGUGAAAAAGGCAUGGGAAUUUCACGGUUGUUUCUACCACGGAUGUUUGCAAUGUUUUAACCCCGCAGAGACAUGUCCAAUGAGGAGGGUUAGAUUCGGUCAACUGCACGCGCGCAGUGAAGAACGACUGGAAGAGUUAAAGACAAAACACGACGUCGUCGUCGUAUUAAUGAGAGAGCACGAAUGGGAUGAAAUUAAAAAAUCACACACCGAAGUUAAAGAGUUUAUCCAAAGGUAUAAUGCUCCCGAGUCUCUUUACCCCCGCGACGCGCUUUAUGGUGGAAGAACUAGCGCUUUAAAGCUGAGACACACAGCGGGUUCUGAUGAAACUGUCCACUACGUAGACGUGACAUCCCUCUAUCCUUAUGUAAACAGUACAUGCUCCUACCCAGUUGGCCAUCCUACAGUCAUAUACAAAGAUUUUGACGACCCUUCGACCUACUACGGUCUGAUCAAGGCUACAGUGUACCCACCCCGCCGUCUUUUCUUCCCUGUGUUGCCUUACAAAAGUUUAUGCGGUAAACUUCUUUUCACACUUUGCCGCACAUGCGCAGAAAGCAAUAAUCAAGAGGGUUCCUGUGAACACGACGAUGACGCAAGAGCUCUAACGGGUGUCUGGGUCACGCUCGAAUUUAACAAAGCCCUGGCAAUGGGCUACAGAGUGAGUAAGAUUACAGAAGUGUGGCAUUUUGACAAGAGCAGCGAUACCGUCUUUACAAGUUACAUGCAUACAUUUUUGAAAGGCAAACAGGAAGCGUCCGGGUACCCUCCAGAGGCUACAGAUAAUGACAGUAGGGAACGUUACAUCAGGGACUAUAACGAACAGCAGAAUAUUCUUUUAGAUGCAAACAAAAUUGAGGUCAACCCUGCAAAGAGACAAGUUGCUAAACUGUGUCUUAACAGUUUGUGGGGUAAAUUUGCACAAAGGGAUAAUUUACUUAAAACCAACAUCGUCACAACACCUGAUGAAUUUUUUAAGUACUUGUUUUCAGGUCAAUACAAAAUAGAGUACUAUGACGUUCUUGACAACGACAGAGCUCUAAUCAAAUGGAAAUACACCGACAAGUGCAUCCACCCCCCAAGUAAACAGAGUAAUGUUUUUAUCGCAGCAUUCACC
RNAcentral lists this long non-coding RNA (1161 nucleotides) under Gouania willdenowi (blunt-snouted clingfish). RNAcentral's name for it is "lncRNA (ENSGWIG00000018354.1)". The record is from RNAcentral. Lineage: Eukaryota; Metazoa; Chordata; Actinopteri; Blenniiformes; Gobiesocidae.